RNAcentral lists this ribosomal RNA (468 nucleotides) under uncultured bacterium. Its description in RNAcentral is "partial 16S ribosomal RNA". It matches the Rfam family "Bacterial small subunit ribosomal RNA", at positions 28 to 507 of the family's 1533-position model. The record is from RNAcentral.
GACGAACGCUGGCGGCGUGCUUAACACAUGCAAGUCGAACGGAAAGGCCCUGCUUUUGUGGGGUGCUCGAGUGGCGAACGGGUGAGUAACACGUGAGUAACCUGCCCUUGACUUUGGGAUAACUUCAGGAAACUGGGGCUAAUACCGGAUAGGAGCUCCUGCUGCAUGGUGGGGGUUGGAAAGUUUCGGCGGUUGGGGAUGGACUCGCGGCUUAUCAGCUUGUUGGUGGGGUAGUGGCUUACCAAGGCUUUGACGGGUAGCCGGCCUGGGAGGGUGACCGGCCACAUUGGGACUGAGAUACGGCCCAGACUCCUACGGUAGGCAGCAGUGGGGAAUAUUGCACAAUGGGCGGAAGCCUGAUGCAGCAACGCCGCGUGCGUGAUGACGGCCUUCGGGUUGUAAACCGCUUUCGCCUGUGACGAAGCGUGAGUGACGGUAAUGGGUAAAGAAGCACCGGCUAACUACGUG